RNAcentral lists this small nucleolar RNA (84 nucleotides) under Phaseolus vulgaris (common bean). RNAcentral's name for it is "snoRNA snoR11". It matches the Rfam family "Small nucleolar RNA R11/Z151". From Rfam's summary of the family: snoR11/Z151 is a member of the C/D class of snoRNA which contain the C (UGAUGA) and D (CUGA) box motifs. Most of the members of the box C/D family function in directing site-specific 2'-O-methylation of substrate RNAs. Lineage: Eukaryota; Viridiplantae; Streptophyta; Magnoliopsida; Fabales; Fabaceae. The record is from Rfam by way of RNAcentral.
UGGCUUAUGAUGAUAAUUCAUUUAUCUUAGCGGAUUUCAGUGAGAUUUCUAUCAAUGAUCUGAAUGUUACACACACUGAAGCCC